UACAGAGGUCUCAAGCGUUGUUCGGAUUCAUUGGGCGUAAAGGGUGCGUAGGCGGCGCGGUAAGUCGGGUGUGAAAUCUCGGAGCUUAACUCCGAAACUGCAUUCGAUACUGCUGUGCUUGAGGACUGGAGAGGAGACUGGAAUUUACGGUGUAGCGGUGAAAUGCGUAGAUAUCGUAAGGAAGACCAGUGGCGAAGGCGGGUCUCUGGACAGUUCCUGACACUGAGGCACGAAGGCCAGGGGAGCAAACGGG
Molecule: ribosomal RNA, 253 nt
Filed under: uncultured bacterium
Lineage: Bacteria
Description: partial 16S ribosomal RNA
Rfam family: Bacterial small subunit ribosomal RNA
Source: RNAcentral